UAUGGAAAGGUACAAUUUAAGUGGAAGUCAAGCACGGAAUCUCACAAGAAGAGCCAUCGCACCUUCUUUUUGUUGGAGUAAGGGGUAGAUAUAUACAUAAAACUUUUAAUUACAAAUAGUGCCUGAUGCCUUAGAGAAUGUUGGGCAUUUUCCCGAGCAAACACGAUGUUCAACAAAUAAAUUGAGCUGAGAAGAAAAAAGAAUUGAUGAAAAAUUAUUGAAAAGAUUAAAUGUUGAGCC
This 240-nucleotide long non-coding RNA is filed under the name Elaeis guineensis (African oil palm). Its description in RNAcentral is "long non-coding RNA (EGUI_LNC006275)". Lineage: Eukaryota; Viridiplantae; Streptophyta; Magnoliopsida; Arecales; Arecaceae. The record is from RNAcentral.